GCAGGCAGGCAGGCAAUCUGGACAUGCAAAAGGUCUUUUAAUAGUAACUGCACGCAGGACAUGGAAACAAUGAACCGACAAAACACACAGAACUGAGAGGGUUUAAAUACAUGAGGGCUGGGAGCUUGGGUGAUUGGAAAAUGAGAGGCAGGUGGGAGCAAUUAACAGCAUGACUGAACAGAAUGGGGAGACAGGACAGGGUGUGACAAAAUGCUGUGGGCGACGAGGAGAGACAACUUGAUGUUUACAACUGUACCUACAUCUAAAGGGAACCAAAUGUGUGCUUCUAUUUCAGCUGUACAUAAUGUGCCAUAUCAAACAUUUUCUGGUGGAUGUAUGCCUUUCAUAAAACAUUGAUUUUAUACGUAAGAGCUAAUAAAAAAAUUCAUAACCGGACUGGGAGUUCUGGUAGUAGGAAAAGAAGAAUGGACAACUUGAGGUGUGUUUCGGAGUCAGAGACACGAAUCGGAGGCUGUGUUGGACAUGAUGACGAACUGAAAAAAUUUGUCUUUUGAUUUAAAUGUUUAUUAUUCAAACUAACAAGUGCAGCAACGGUGUGACUAUUCUUUUCUAUUUCUUAGUUGAAUUAGCAGACUUCAUGCUUCCAGGUGCACUGCUGCCCUCUGCUGGUUCUUUCAGGUUACAGCCAUAGUCCAAAUGGGUAACAUGAAGCUCGUAUGUCCCUAAACAGCUACUGUAUUUUAAGAUGGUGGAUGACCAUGGAGCAUCUGCCACAGUUUAUGUAUAUAAAAAUAUAUAAUUUCAAGUUGAGAGGAGUAUUUAGAAUUGAUGUUGGUGAGAAAAAUUAGUGAAAAAGAAGAAGCUUGUGAACUGGAAACAGGAUUUGAUAGUGAACAGAAAUCGAGACUCAUCAGACCAGGCAACAUUUUUCCAGCCUGCAACUGUCCAAUUUUGGCAGGAUGAACUCCUGACAGAAACUCCCUGGAACCUUCUGUGUUGAUCUGCACUGGGUCAAGAUUAGAGCAGCUAAACACCAAGCCGGAGUUCUGAUUCUUCUGCUCCUUGGUUAAAAUGGGCCUUUACUAACAGGUAGGAGGCAGAAACUCACCGCAGCCACCUGGUUGAAGGAGCGUUUGAUGCUGUUGGCCAUGG
Molecule: non-coding RNA, 1113 nt
Organism: Nothobranchius furzeri (turquoise killifish)
Lineage: Eukaryota; Metazoa; Chordata; Actinopteri; Cyprinodontiformes; Nothobranchiidae
Source: RefSeq, a predicted model, not a curated record